Molecule: ribosomal RNA, 452 nt
Filed under: uncultured Alphaproteobacteria bacterium
Lineage: Bacteria; Pseudomonadati; Pseudomonadota; Alphaproteobacteria
Description: bacterial SSU rRNA
Rfam family: Bacterial small subunit ribosomal RNA
Source: RNAcentral
CGUGUCUCUACCUACGGGAGGCAGCAGUGGGGAAUCUUAGACAAUGGGCGCAAGCCUGAUCUAGCCAUGCCGCGUGAGUGAUGAAGGUCUUAGGAUCGUAAAGCUCUUUCGCUAGGGAUGAUAAUGACAGUACCUAGUAAAGAAGCCCCGGCUAACUCCGUGCCAGCAGCCGCGGUAAUACGGAGGGGGCUAGCGUUGUUCGGAAUUACUGGGCGUAAAGCGUACGUAGGCGGAUCAGAAAGUAUGGGGUGAAAUCCCAGGGCUUAACCCUGGAACUGCCUCAUAAACUCCUGGUCUUGAGUUCGAGAGAGGUGAGUGGAAUUCCAAGUGUAGAGGUGAAAUUCGUAGAUAUUUGGAGGAACACCAGUGGCGAAGGCGGCUCACUGGCUCGAUACUGACGCUGAGGUACGAAAGUGUGGGGAGCAAACAGGAUUAGAUACCCUUGUAGUCCA